Molecule: long non-coding RNA, 1001 nt
Filed under: Sarcophilus harrisii (Tasmanian devil)
Lineage: Eukaryota; Metazoa; Chordata; Mammalia; Dasyuromorphia; Dasyuridae
Description: lncRNA (ENSSHAG00000029554.1)
Source: RNAcentral
UAAUUUAAAAAGAAAUAUUUGUCUGGGUGUGGAGUGUUGGUGUGUGUAUAGAGGAGGGAGAGACAGAGACAGAGACAGAGAGAGACAGAGAAACAGAGACAGAGACAGAGAGUUUAAAGUAUGUGUCCCAUAAGUGAGACACUGCCCAAAUUCCUAAUAUUCACAAUCUCACUAUUGUGUUAUUCGUUCCAUUCUUCACUGCAAUUCUCAAUUGCACCCAUUAGGUUCAUAUUGAAGUUCAAGCCUGAAAGAAAAAACAACAUUAUAUCACUGAUCCAGCUGGAGCUUUCAAAUAAGAAUACUUACAAAGCUGCUGCAAUUACUACAACUUUCAGAAAUUCUACUGGCUAUGAGAGUCCAUUGUACAUCCACUAAUAAAUAUGUUCUUCCAAAUGCUAACAAGUUUACAGAAUGGAGAUGCGUGGAUAACUAAGAGAAACACAGGUGAUAUUAAGUAAGGACCUGACAAGUUUAUAGCCAUGCCAAUUUCAUUUUUCCAUGGAAAUGGCCAUUAUCACUUAAACAUAUUAUUACCAUAAUUUUAAAAUAAUAGAUUACUUUAUCCUUCAUUUAUGACAUUACCUACAGAGGAAUUUAGUUUAGAGUUAGCUUAUUUUCUUUGACCUUUAGGACCACAGUAAUUUUCAUGCUUUCAUGCUUUUCUAAAUAUAUUAAUAAUUUUCUCCAUAAAAUUUAAGCUUUCUUAAUAAGCAGAUAAAAUGAACUCAAAUUUAUGCAUAUUAUUGAUAAAAUUUAUUCAGAUAUUAUUUACUUUUACUUUUUGCAUUGAUAUAAUAAAAUUGAUUACUUUUAUUUAGCCCACAUUAGAAAGCAAUAUUAGGCAACUGGAGUGGUAGGUACAGUCAGACAUAUAUACUACAGAAACAAGCAGCAACUAAUUAACCUGACACGAUUUUUCGAAUUGUCCAAGUUCAUAUGCUUAAAGUAAGUGUUUCAUUAUAUACUCUGUUCUACAUUGUUAAUAACCAGCUCAUUAAUUU